CAAUAGCGUAUAUUAAAGUUGUUGCAGUUAAAAAGCUCGUAGUUGGAUUUGUGGCGUACGGUGUGUUCCGGGCACUUGUUGUCUGAGUAACCUGCUGUUGCCAUCCUUGGGUGGAACCUGUGUGGCAUUAGGUUGUCGUGCAGGGGAUGCCCAUCAUUUACUGUGAAAAAAUUAGAGUGUUCAAAGCAGGCUUAUGCCGUUGAAUAUAUUAGCAUGGAAUAAUGAGAUAGGACUUUUUUGCUAUUUUGUUGGUUUGCGCAAAGAGGUAAUGAUUAAUAGGGACAGUUGGGGGUAUUCGUAUUCCAUUGUCAGAGGUGGAAUUCUUGGAUUUUUGGAAGACGAACUACUGCGAAAGCAUUUACCAAGGAUGUUUUCAUUAA
RNAcentral lists this ribosomal RNA (380 nucleotides) under uncultured eukaryote. Its description in RNAcentral is "partial 18S ribosomal RNA". It matches the Rfam family "Eukaryotic small subunit ribosomal RNA", at positions 592 to 976 of the family's 1831-position model. The record is from RNAcentral.